This is a small nucleolar RNA of Nannospalax galili (Upper Galilee mountains blind mole rat), 131 nucleotides long. Its record names the gene SNORA70. It matches the Rfam family "Small nucleolar RNA SNORA70". Rfam says of the family: snoRNA U70 seems to be exclusive to mammals and is a member of the H/ACA class of snoRNA which contain H (ANANNA) and ACA box motifs. H/ACA box snoRNAs are involved in the conversion of uridines to pseudouridines (5-ribosyluracil) a constituent of structural RNAs (transfer, ribosomal, small nuclear, and small nucleolar). The record is from Ensembl. NCBI's taxonomy places the organism in Eukaryota, Metazoa, Chordata, Mammalia, Rodentia, Spalacidae.
CUGCAGCCAAUGAAGCCAACCAGGUUCCUUUCCUCAUGGGGGCCAGGUGUGCAAUGGCUGCAAACAGCAACCUCCUUGGUAAUGCAGCCUGUUGCAUGUAUGGGCUGCUCUAAGGGACCGGGGAGUCAGUC